CGCCUGUUUAUCAAAAACAUCGCCUCUUGAAAUUAAUAAGAGGUCCAGCCUGCCCAGUGACCACAGUUCAACGGCCGCGGUAUCCUAACCGUGCGAAGGUAGCGUAAUCACUUGUUCUUUAAAUGGGGACUAGUAUGAAUGGCAUCACGAGGGUUAUACUGUCUCCUUUUUCCAAUCAGUGAAACUAAUCUCCCCGUGAAGAAGCGGGGAUAAGACCAUAAGACGAGAAGACCCUAUGGAGCUUUAAAUUUCUCUUCAAACGCCGGCUAAUUUAGUAAGUCAUAGACCCCUUCCCCCUUAACCCUAGCGCCAUGAAGACGACUUUUAGGUUGGGGUGACCGCGGAGUACAAAAAAACCUCCACAUUGAACUAGGCUCCCAAGCCCUGAGCAAAGGGCCACAACCCCAUGCACUAAAAAACUAACAUCCAUUGACCCAAUACCUUUUGAUCAACGAACCAAGUUACCCUAGGGAUAACAGCGCAAUCCACUUCAAGAGUCCAUAUCGACAAGUGGGUUUACGACCUCGAUGUUGGAUCAGGGUAUCCCAGUGGUGCAGCCGCUACUAAUGGUUCGUUUGUUCAACGAUUAAAACCCU
RNAcentral lists this ribosomal RNA (596 nucleotides) under Scinax sp. KAV13. RNAcentral describes it as "partial 16S large subunit ribosomal RNA". It matches the Rfam family "Bacterial large subunit ribosomal RNA", at positions 1797 to 2597 of the family's 2925-position model. Lineage: Eukaryota; Metazoa; Chordata; Amphibia; Anura; Hylidae. The record is from RNAcentral.